GCUUUCGGCAAUACCAACCUGGCUAUGCCCGAUCUCGUCUGAUCUCGGAGGCUAAGCAGGUUUGGGCCUGGUUAGUACUUGGAUGGGAGACAGCCUGGGAAUACCAGGUGCUUUAAGCU
Molecule: ribosomal RNA, 119 nt
Organism: Carassius auratus (goldfish)
Lineage: Eukaryota; Metazoa; Chordata; Actinopteri; Cypriniformes; Cyprinidae
Source: Ensembl